This 76-nucleotide microRNA precursor is filed under the name Nomascus leucogenys (northern white-cheeked gibbon). RNAcentral's name for it is "mir-1290 microRNA precursor family". Lineage: Eukaryota; Metazoa; Chordata; Mammalia; Primates; Hylobatidae. The record is from Rfam by way of RNAcentral.
GAGCACCAUGUCAGCACUCAAAAAGUUUUGGAUUUUGGAACAUUUCAGAUUUCAGAUCUUUGGAUUAGGGGUGCUC